This 374-nucleotide ribosomal RNA is filed under the name uncultured eukaryote. RNAcentral's name for it is "partial 18S ribosomal RNA". It matches the Rfam family "Eukaryotic small subunit ribosomal RNA", at positions 592 to 976 of the family's 1831-position model. The record is from RNAcentral.
CAAGAGCGUAUGUAAAAGUUGUUGCAGUUAAAAAGCUCGUAGUUGAACCUUGGGUUUGGUUGGCCGGUCCGCUUUUUUGCGAGUACUGGAUUCAACCGAGCCUUUCCUUCUGGCUAACCAGUCGUUUCGGCGGCUGGCGAACCAGGAUUUUUACUUUGAGAAAAUUAGAGUGUUCAAAGCAGGCAUUAGCUUGAAUAUAUUAGCAUGGAAUAAUAGAAUAGGACGUUAUGGUUCUAUUUUGUUGGUUUCUAGGACCAACGUAAUGAUUAAUAGGGACGGUCGGGGGCAUCAGUAUUCAGUUGUCAGAGGUGAAAUUCUUGGAUUUACUGAAGACUAACUACUGCGAAAGCAUUUGCCAAGGACGUUUUCAUUAA